Maniola jurtina (meadow brown) is the source of this 192-nucleotide long non-coding RNA. RefSeq lists it as uncharacterized. The record is from RefSeq and is a predicted model, not a curated record. Lineage: Eukaryota; Metazoa; Arthropoda; Insecta; Lepidoptera; Nymphalidae. The transcript has 4 exons.
AAUAAUAUUAGGUAUAAAUGUGAAAGUGUGGAUGUUUGGAUGUUUGUUACUCAAUCACGCAAAAACGGCUCAACGGAUUCGGAUGAAAUUAGGGAUGGAGAUAGAUCAUUGUUUAUACCGGCUACUUUUUAUCCCGGAAAAUCAAAGAGUUCCCACGGGAAUUUUAAAAAACCUACAUCCACGCGAACUAAG